CCUCAGUAGCGGCGAGCGAAGGGGGAGGAGCCCAAACCGACCCUAACACAGAGUGAAUAGUAGUCGGCGGAUAGGGAGCAGCGACGGGCGAAAAACCGACGAAGGUUGUUUGCACUAUUCACUGGAACCCAUCUCAACAUCGGUUUUCUCUUUUUUGUCAUUCCGUGCUUGACACGGAAUCCAGUGACGUUGCCGUUUUACUCUUUAAAAACAAAGAAUGACGGAUCACAGAGGGAAAACACGUACGAUGCUGGGUACCGGCAUCCGCCGGUGUGACGUGAUUGUGGGAUAGGGUCUAGUGACUUUUCACUAUUCACUGUGUGUUAGGGUUGGGGUUGUAGGACCGCGGGAGUAGGAACACCGUACUGUAGCCGAAUGUUCUGGAAAGGGCAUCCGGAGAGGGUGACAGGCCCGUAGGCGAAACGGUAUGGACACCGAAGCGGUAUCCUGAGUACCACGGGGCACGUGGAAUCCUGUGGGAAGCAGGGGGGACCACCCUCCAAGGCUAAAGACUCCCUGAUGACCGAUAGUGGACGAGUACCGUGAGGGAAAGGUGAAAAGAACCCUGGUGAAGGGAGUGAAAGAGAACCUGAAACCGUAUGCCUACAAGCAAUCAGAGUCCCGCCACUGGCGGGAUGAUGGUGUGCCUUUUGAUUAAUGAGCCGGCGAGUUACUGGCGGUAGCGAGGUUAAUCCCGUGAACGGGAGGAGCCGGAGGGAAACCGAGUCUUAACAGGGCGCAUGAGUUACUGUCAGUAGACCCGAAGCCAGGUGAUCUACCCAUGGGCAGGGUGAAGUCCCGGUAAAACGGGAUGGAGGCCCGAACCGGUGUUUGUUGCAAAAAGCUCGGAUGAUCUGUGGGUAGGGGUGAAAGGCCAAUCAAACCUGGUGAUAGCUGGUACUCCCCGAAAUGUAUUUAGGUACAGCCUCAGUGCAGUCCCACGGGGGUAGGGCACUGGAUGGGCUAGGGCCUCGUAUGGGGUACCAAACCCAACCAAACCACGAAUACCGUGGCGAUGGUCGCUGGGAGUGAGACUACGGGUGCUAAGAUUCGUGGUCGAGAGGGAAACAGCCCAGAUCGUCAGCUAAGGUCCCUAAGGGUAUGCUCAGUGGGAAAGGAUGUGGUGUUGCGCAGACAGCCAGGAUGUUGGCUUAGAAGCAGCCAUCAUUGAAAGAAAGCGUAACAGCUCACUGGUCAAGCGACACUGCGCCGAAAAUUCAACGGGGCUAAGCAUACCACCGAAGCUACGGACUUCAGUGCUUCGCACUGGAAAUUCCAAUAACCGAGCACCAAGAGACAAAGAAUAACCACUAACCAAAUAACCAUACCCAAACACACUUUGACGGAAGGGGUGAUUAAUUGGAUAAUUGGGAUGUUGGAAUUUCUUUGGAAGGUGUGAUUUGCAAUUUGGUUAUUAGAAGAUUGGAGUUUACCAGUGCGGAGCAUUGGAGUGGUAGGGGAGCAUUCUGUAGGCCUGUGAAGGCGGGUCGUGAGGCCUGCUGGAGGUGGCAGAAGAGAGUAUGCCGGCAUAAGUAGCGCAAAUUCUGAUGAAAAGUCAGGACGCCGUAAACCUAAGGUUUCCUGGGGAAGGGACAUCCGCCCAGGGUUAGUCGGACCUAAGGCGAGGCCGAGAGGCGUAGCUGAUGGAUGACUGGUUAAUAGUCCAGUACCGUCUUGUGUGCGUUUGACCGAAGGGGUGACGCAGGAGGAUAGUCCGGGCCUGGUGAUGGUUCAGGUCCAAGCGUUGAGGCUGGUGGUUAGGCAAAUCCGGCCACCGUGAAGGCCGGGGCGUGAUGGGGAAGGCCGCAAGGCUGAACUCGGGCGAUUUCACGCUGACGAGAAAACCCUCGUAGGGAGCACAUGGGACGACCGUACCGCAAACCGACACAGGUAGGUGGGUAGAAGAUACCAAGGCGUUCGAGAGAACCCUCGCUAAGGAACUCGGCAAAGUGGCCCCGUAACUUCGGGAGAAGGGGUCCCUCCGCAAGGAGGGCGCAGUGAAGAGGCUCAGGCGACUGUUUAGCAAAAACACAGGUGUCUGCGAACUCGCAAGAGGAGGUAUAGGCACUGACGCCUGCCCGGUGCCGGAAGGUUAAUGGGAGAGGUCAUCUUCGCAAGGGGAGAAGCCUUGAACUGAAGCCCUGGUAAACGGCGGCCGUAACUAUAACGGUCCUAAGGUAGCGAAAUUCCUUGUCGGGUAAGUUCCGACC
This 2210-nucleotide ribosomal RNA is filed under the name hot springs metagenome. RNAcentral's name for it is "bacterial LSU rRNA". It matches the Rfam family "Bacterial large subunit ribosomal RNA", at positions 238 to 1988 of the family's 2925-position model. The record is from RNAcentral.